This 253-nucleotide ribosomal RNA is filed under the name uncultured bacterium. RNAcentral describes it as "partial 16S ribosomal RNA". It matches the Rfam family "Bacterial small subunit ribosomal RNA", at positions 524 to 776 of the family's 1533-position model. The record is from RNAcentral.
UACGAAGGGAGCUAGCGUUGUUCGGAAUUACUGGGCGUAAAGAGCGCGUAGGCGGUUUACCAAGUUGGAAGUGAAAGCCCAGGGCUUAACCCUGGAACUGCUUUCAAAACUGGUAAACUAGAGUAUGGUAGAGGAUGGUGGAAUUCCUAGUGUAGAGGUGAAAUUCGUAGAUAUUAGGAGGAACACCGGUGGCGAAGGCGACCAUCUGGGCCAUUACUGACGCUGAGGCGCGAAAGCGUGGGGAGCAAACAGG